This 253-nucleotide ribosomal RNA is filed under the name uncultured bacterium. Its description in RNAcentral is "partial 16S ribosomal RNA". It matches the Rfam family "Bacterial small subunit ribosomal RNA", at positions 524 to 776 of the family's 1533-position model. The record is from RNAcentral.
UACGUAGGGUGCGAGCGUUGUCCGGAAUUAUUGGGCGUAAAGGGCUCGUAGGCGGUCUGUCACGUCGGGAGUGAAAACUCAGGGCUUAACCCUGAGCCUGCUUCCGAUACGGGCAGACUAGAGGUAUGCAGGGGAGAACGGAAUUCCUGGUGUAGCGGUGAAAUGCGCAGAUAUCAGGAGGAACACCGGUGGCGAAGGCGGUUCUCUGGGCAUGAUCUGACGCUGAGGAGCGAAAGUGUGGGGAGCGAACAGG